Long non-coding RNA from Octopus sinensis (East Asian common octopus), 462 nucleotides. RefSeq lists it as uncharacterized. The transcript is spliced from 2 exons. Lineage: Eukaryota; Metazoa; Mollusca; Cephalopoda; Octopoda; Octopodidae. The record is from RefSeq and is a predicted model, not a curated record.
CAAAUUCCACAAAUUGUCUUGUUUACGAAACCAUGGCAACAGCGUGUCUCAAACAAAUGGACGGAGAAAUACUGCUCUUAUAGUAUAGUUUCCUUGCAUAAAUACAUCGUCAUCAACGGCAUAUCCUGUCAGUAUUGUUGAUGCUAUAUCUGUUCGAUUACCAACCCUGUACUAUUGCACAAACGUGAAGCAUCCAAGUUUCUAUGAACACUAACUGAGACUCUUCAACAUUUAUUUGUGAUGUAUAGUACACCAGGUGGCUCCUGGAUGUUGAGAAAUUCAGUGGAAUAAUUCGUAGCUUAUUUUGAGAUCAAAAACUAUCUGUAGCAUGAAAUUAUUGGGUGAUUUAUCCAUCGAACAUAUUGACAGCUUUAUUGAUUGGAACAUCAUUCGUGACUGAGACAGCUGAGUCGAAUGUUGCAAAAGACUUUAUUUAUUGGUUAAAUAAAAAAAAAACCUUUA